Corythoichthys intestinalis (scribbled pipefish) is the source of this 624-nucleotide long non-coding RNA. RefSeq lists it as uncharacterized. The record is from RefSeq and is a predicted model, not a curated record. Lineage: Eukaryota; Metazoa; Chordata; Actinopteri; Syngnathiformes; Syngnathidae. The transcript is spliced from 4 exons.
GGCAUACGAGGCGCACGCCGCUGAGCCCUUCUCGUACAGGGCUGCCGCCCAGCCCAGGGCUCUCCCACGAAGGCACCCGAUCAGUCUGGAUUUCGGCCACAACACAGCACCGAGACCGUGCUUAUCAAAGUCCUAAAUGAUAUUCGUCGGAAUACCGAUGCAGGCAAAUCAUCUGUUCUGCUACUAUUGGAUCUCAGCGCCGCAUUUGACACGGUUGAUCACAACAUACUACUCAGCAGAUUGGAGCAGUGGUCAGAAGCAAGCAGGAAAGUCUGCACCUUGCCAUUGAAUGCUCUCCAUUACUGAUGUGAACCAAGAGUAGGACAAGGGACAAGGGACUGAUUUUGCUUGGUCCCUUGGUCACAUAGUCAUGCAAAAGGAAGGCCAACAAGAAAACCCCAACAACAUCAAAUGAGAAUGCCCUUCUUUGAGAAUCGAGUCUUCAAACUAUUACUGAUCCCUGCCUUGGAGUAGAAAAUGUGAGUAAAGGAAAAUCUAAUUCAUGCUCCACACACAGGACAAUGGUCUCUCCUUGAUUUAGAAAAAAGUAAUUGGUGAAAAUAAUACUCAAGUAAAGUUGUGAGUAACUGCUUAAAAUGUUAUCUUUUGUAAGCAAAGGUAUUU